Passer domesticus (house sparrow) is the source of this 1185-nucleotide long non-coding RNA. RefSeq lists it as uncharacterized. The transcript is spliced from 2 exons. Lineage: Eukaryota; Metazoa; Chordata; Aves; Passeriformes; Passeridae. The record is from RefSeq and is a predicted model, not a curated record.
CAAUCUGUCUCAGGGUUACACCUGGUGCCAUUUCUGCCAGCUAACAAGCCUGGGUAGUCUUGCUGCUGGUCCUUCUGCUGAUUAGUAUUGAUUAUUCCUCUCACCUGAAAAUAAAGAGAAGUCUGCAUUUCCUUAUUGAACUCACAAGGCCAGAUGCUGAGAAUACAAACAUCUUCUGCUACCCCUGCACUAAUAAUAAAUAUUCCAGAGACCUGUUUCUACCCAUUUGAAAAGAGGACCAGUUCCUUCAAGCUGCCUCUGCUGCCAUCUCCUGCUCAGAACAUGAUCAGGGACAAGCAUCUUGGCAGGUUGCAACAGGAUCAGCCUUCAUCCACCUGAAAACCUGGGGGUACUGUGUGUUUGGCACUUAAUUGUGUCAGGACCCUCCUCAAGAGUGCACCUGCCUCCUACCUGGAACAGAGAGGUUGCCUAACUACAUCAUUGUCUUAGAAAGGUCACUCAAAUAGAAAAGCUCUGGACAAAGUGGAGAGAUGGGAAGACAAAAUAUUGAGUAUAACUGCUCCCCUCUCUUUUCAAAUUAUGCUUUGACUUUCAUGAGCCAGACAAUCAGUGUGUUUGGCCAAAAAUCUCAGAUGUCAAAGGUCAAGCAAUAAAUAUACAUACUCUAUUAUUGUAAGAAACCAUAAGUUAUUUAAGAUGGAGAUCCUUUAGCAAUACUGAGGUUUUGUCUGCUGAAAACACACCAUCUUUCUGUAUCUUUUGCUGUGAAACUGGGCUUAUAAUUUUUGUGUGUAUUUAGAGGUCAUGUUGAGCUGAAAGGAAAUAUAUCAAAAUUGGGUUUAUAUAGUUAGAAUCAGAUAAAGUUUCAAGUUGGUUUUUUAAGGUGUACAACAUCUAUUAUGUGAGAACAAAAUAUAGUGCAGUUAGUUCAAAGAUAAACUGCUGUACUCAUAAAAAAAAGAAUGUGUCUUCAAAAUAUUUUUUUCUUGGGAACCCAGCAGGCUGUUUAUUCAACCUACCUUCCUUUGUCUCUUCCUCUUUCUCUCUCUUUAUUUCUCUCUUUCUCUCUUGCUUUUUCUUCUCUCUUUACUCUUUUGUCUUUCUUUCUUUUGAAAAGGACAUCUGCAGACUGAAAAAUUUCUAGCUUGAAAAUGUUCUUGAAAAUUGAUAAGCUAUCAAACCUGAUAAAUUUUUUGGUUGAAUAAAAAAAAUCUCAAAAUAAAA